AAUGUUACCCAAACAAAAGCGCUGACUUGAGUUCAAUGCAGUAAGUGCUACUUGUUGGGGUAGCUUUG
Non-coding RNA from Larimichthys crocea (large yellow croaker), 68 nucleotides. NCBI's taxonomy places the organism in Eukaryota, Metazoa, Chordata, Actinopteri, Sciaenidae. The record is from Rfam.